This 440-nucleotide ribosomal RNA is filed under the name uncultured bacterium. Its description in RNAcentral is "partial 16S ribosomal RNA". It matches the Rfam family "Bacterial small subunit ribosomal RNA", at positions 338 to 795 of the family's 1533-position model. The record is from RNAcentral.
CCUACGGGUGACAGCAGUAGGGAAUAUUGCUCAAUGGGGGAAACCCUGAAGCAGCAACGCCGCGUGAAGGAAGAAGGGUUUCGGAUUGUAAACCCCUUUUGUUAGGGGAGAAAAUGACGGUAUGUAAAGAGUAAGCACCAGCUAACGCCGUGCCAGCAGCAGCGGAAAUACGGAGGGUGCAAGCGUUACUCGGAAUCACUGGGCUUAAAGGGCGCGUAGGCGGGAUAGCAAGUCAGAUGUGAAAUCCUAGGGCUUAACCCUAGAACUGCAUUUGAAACUGUCAUUCUAGAGUAUGGGAGAGGUAUGUGGAAUUCGUGGUGUAGGGGUGAAAUGCGUAGAGAUCAAGAGGAAGACUAAUUGCGAAGGCGACCUACUGGACCAUAACUGACGCUGAUGCGCGAAAGCGUGGGGAGCAAACAGGAUUAGAUACCCCGGUAGUC